ACUCACCACAAACGAAAGAAAUCUAAAAAAGUAGAACAUUGUGGUAGAACAUGACGUAAACAAAAUAUAAAAUGUCUUGUGUCCAUGGCCAAUGGCUAUUAUCUAUUUACAAUAGUUAGAAACAAAGCAAAUUGUUUCAUAAUUUGGACACUACGUUAAUUAUUAACUAAGUGUGGUAUGAAACCCUAUUUGUUUGUAAGUCACAGUAACAUAUCUACGUAGCAAGCAAGCUAUAACGCAAAUGUAGCAAUAAUGGACAAAGAAGAUGCAUUAUUAGGAAUGGAGAUGGGACGGCUGGAAAUUGAACCUUUAAAGUUAAAUAAGAUUAGAAGUAAUGAAAAUCCUUUUACAAGUCCUUUACUAAAGAGAAACUAUUUGGAAGUUCCUCUUACAUUUGUUCCUAAUGAAUCCAGAUGCUCUUGUUCCAGUAAAAAGAAACUAAAAUCUGGAAUCUUAAAAAAGAAGCAUAAUAAAAUUCUCAAAGAACCAGUACUAAACAUAUUAAAAAAAUGUAGUAAUACUGUUAAAUUGGAAAAUAUUGAUAACUGUGAAGAAUCAACAAGCAGAAGUUUGUCAGAUAUUGAGGGAUGUGACCCCUUAAGUUUAUGCACACUUGUUGAUAACUGUAAUCAGUUAAGAAUAUCAUCUAGUGAUAAUAAAUUAAAUUUAGUAGCUAAUGAAUAUGGUGGUCGAAGAUGGUGGAAGCAUGAUGUAUCCAGUGCACAGGAAUCUAAGGAACCAAAACAACAGAGUAGUAGAUCAGGCAGCUGUUCCCAACAGGCUCUCAAUCCCCCUUGUGAUGUCACUAUUGAUGAACUAGCAAGCUAUUUUGAAACAUUGGUACAUAUACCAAAAAAAAUGUCCUCCAUGGCUGAAAUGAUGUAUAUUUAAUUGUGAACUUCACUCACAUGUGAACCAAAAAUGAGGACCUCAUACUAAGUGCAAAGUUAAAGUAAUAUUGAAAGAAUUUGUCAGUUGAAACUGGGGCAGGACCCGUUGACUGAAUCUAUUUACAAAUUAAUAUUUGUAUGACAGACAUAGUUUUUCACUGCCAUGCAUUCAACCUAUUUUACACUUUCACUUCAAAUCAAUAUUUUAUGUUAUAACCCUGAUGUGUAGUAUUUUAUUUAACCAUAAUUUUCAGCAAUUUCUAACAUCUGUUUGUUUACUAUUCCUUGAUUUUAAUAAUCCUAGUGUUAUCUGUGUCAUUUAUUUUGUUGUACUGUAAGUGAUAAAUAUCAAAACUAUUUUAAGAUGGAAAAUAUUGUGAAAAAUACAGUUAUGAUGAUUGAACAGUUUUUUUAUUACAUAUGUUUCAUGCCUAAUAUUUCAGUGUCUGCAAUAUACAGGUGAUUUGUUAUUGAGAGUACAAUCUCAUAUGAGUCAUUUACAACAUUUUUGUCUAACAAAGGGAUAGGCGGAAAUGAGUAAUCAAUAAACUAUUUAACUUUAUGUUAAUUUCAAAAUGACCCAAAUCUCAAACUGAAAAAUAAACUAAAAAACCACGAUUUUUUUCCGGUGUACCAUCUAUCUCAACGGUAACAAGCUCAAGGCUCAACCCUAAUGCUCUUUUAUGGGACACAAGUAUUUGGGUAAUGGUUUUAUUUUUUCUUUUUAUGGAAUAGAAGGCAAACGGCCAGGCGGAUCACCUGUUGAUAAGGGAUCAGAUCAGGGACAAAAUUACACACCUCUACCUUAAUUUUAUAAUCAGAUGAAAUGAAAGGGUAUUCGGCACGAACACGAACCACGGCAUGGCCAGAAUUUAGCGUGAUAAGUAGGGGUAAAUUCCUGAAUUGAAUAAGUAAUUUCUCAUUUUUCUUCAUGGUAUACAAAGAAAUAUUAAGCCCUACUUGGCCCAUCCAUUGGCCAUGGUAACAGCCACAGAUUAUAAUGUUAUUUAUUUUCAUCGUCCUUCUGACAUCAGCUGUCACAUCAGCAGCUUUUACAAAAUAGUCUAACUUGUUUUGUUGAUACAAAUUGAAAACAAAUACGUCUACUUUCAGAUGUUGUAUUUAUAUUACUGGAACAAUUAAAUAAUUUAUAUUUAUAUAAGUUUCAAUCCUAAAAUCAUGUUGAAUGUAAACGCUGGAUGUUGGUAUGGUCUAUUUUUGGAUGCGUAUACUUAUUCCACCAAAUAUUUGAUUUUUACUGUAACAGUGAUCAUAACUUCUAUAUUUUUCGUAUGGAUAUACGAGAAACCUUCGUUUUACAGGCUGUUAUUCAAAAUAAGUAAACAUUCUACCAUUGUUAGUCCUAUUGAGAGCUGUGAAGAAAUUGACUCCGAAUACCACAACAGUACAUUAUUUGAUGAUGAGUUAACAACUAACCAAGAAAGGAAAAAGGACUCUGAAGUAGAACCAGAAUCUCGACCUUCUCAUUAGUCAUAAAAUAAUUGAAAUAUUUACCCACGGAAUGUUUAGUUUAUAUAGCAUUCUUAGGUACAUUCAUUAUAUCCAAUGAUGUUAUCCAAUAAUAAAUAUCCAAUUACCUA
Spodoptera frugiperda (fall armyworm) is the source of this 2491-nucleotide RNA transcript. It is a transcript of the gene named oxidative stress-responsive serine-rich protein 1, with no coding region annotated. NCBI's taxonomy places the organism in Eukaryota, Metazoa, Arthropoda, Insecta, Lepidoptera, Noctuidae. The transcript has 3 exons. The record is from RefSeq and is a predicted model, not a curated record.